This 492-nucleotide ribosomal RNA is filed under the name uncultured bacterium. RNAcentral's name for it is "partial 16S ribosomal RNA". It matches the Rfam family "Bacterial small subunit ribosomal RNA", at positions 29 to 507 of the family's 1533-position model. The record is from RNAcentral.
AGUGAACGCUGGCGGUAGGCCUAACACAUGCAAGUCGAACGGCAGCACAGUAAGAGCUUGCUCUUACGGGUGGCGAGUGGCGGACGGGUGAGGAAUACAUCGGAAUCUACUUUUUCGUGGGGGAUAACGUAGGGAAACUUACGCUAAUACCGCAUACGACCUACGGGUGAAAGCAGGGGAUCUUCGGACCUUGCGCGAUUGAAUGAGCCGAUGUCGGAUUAGCUAGUUGGCGGGGUAAAGGCCCACCAAGGCGACGAUCCGUAGCUGGUCUGAGAGGAUGAUCAGCCACACUGGAACUGAGAAACGGUCCAGACUCCUACGGGAGGCAGCAGUGGGGAAUAUUGGACAAUGGGCGCAAGCCUGAUCCAGCAAUACCGCGUGGGCGAAGAAGGCCUUCGGGUUGUAAAGCCCUUUUGUUGGGAAAGAAAAGCAGCAGGUUAAUACCCCGCUGUUCUGACGGUACCCAAAGAAUAAGCACCGGCUAACUUCGUG